GAAAGGCCACACACAGUCGCACUCGACAGCCGCCACCACCACCACCUGGUCCACGUCGCCGGCGGCAAUGUGGGCGCAACUGGCCGUCGCGCUGUUCGUGGCGUUAGCCGUGGCUCCCCCGGCCCGUGGCUCCGACGUGCCUUCGUUCCCGCUGUCGCAGGCGCAGUCCCCAUCCAACUCCUCGUCCCCGUCCAACGCCGCCUCGCGGCCGUGCCACCUGGACCUCUCGGCCGAGCUCUUCGGUGGGGUAGCCGCGGCGUGCGGCGCCGGCGGGGGGCCGGGCUCGCUGGACCGCGGCCGCUGCUGCCCGGUCCUGGCGGCCUGGCUCUUCGCGGCGCACGCGCGCACCGCGCUGUCCGUGCCCCCGGCGCCUCCGCCCUCGGCGCUAGUGGGGGACGAGGGAAUGGGGCCCGACGGCGACGACGACGGGCCCAUGGUGCCGUACGACAACCAGAGGUGUGUCGACACGCUGGGCGCAGCGCUGGAGCGGCGCGGGGUGGCGCUGCCCCGGCCCAACGCGACGUGCGACACGGUGCUCUGCUUCUGCGGCAUCCGGCUCCACCAGAUCGGCUCGCUCCGCUGCCCCGCCGCGUUCGCCGUCAAAACUGGCGCCGCGGCCAGGAACGCCACGCCCACCGCCGCGGUGAAGGCCCUGGAGAAGAGCUGCCGCAACGCCUCCUACGCCGGCUGCUCGCGAUGCGUGCAGUCCCUGCAAAAGCAACCAUGGGAAAGGGCAAUCCCGCCAGGUAACCACCGGAUAGGACCAUUCCUUGAAAGCUUGAACACGCAUUUGUGGGGACAAACCUCCUUCUUUCGAGCAAGGGCAAAGGCGGGGUAUUCGCCUUCGUAUUCGCCUUCGGCAUUGCCCCCCGCCUUUGGCUCCGGGAAGCUGAUCAUGGAGGGCUCCCUGGGCUUCUUCGAAAAAAGAGAAGCUGACAGUGUCCAGAUGCAGAACGUGCUGUCCAUCAGGAAUCCUAAACCUCCUGAUAGAGAAGCCUGCAGCAGCGUCAGUCCCGGUGCUGCGACAGCUACUUGUGGCUCAAGGAGAAGACGAUCUUUUUAAAGAUUUUCAUGUUCUUUAGCUUUUAUCCUCUACUAGGUAAAUACCCAGGAGAACAAGUACUUGGCAUUAACCUGAGGGUUUAUCUUGUCAAGCUGCAAAACGAUCUCACCCAAGAACUUGUACCCAGAACCAUCUUUCGCGUGGAAGUUCACAGGUCGAAAGCAGGGUGAGACAGCAGCUUCUGAACAUUUGCAACAUUUCCAGGAAUCUCUGAAGUAGCUUGAAGAGCAAACAACUUGCUUACAACCUAUCAGAGUAAAACAAAGAAACAACAGAAAUCCAAGAGGGCAUCAUCACGAACUUGGCCUGGAUUUUGGGAUAAUGCUGCUAAUGCAGCAAACUGCUCUGUCAUGUUAGUCGCAGACUUGUACUCAUGCAGUGCAAGCUCAACGAAAUCUGGCUCAUUCAAUGACGCAAGGAUGCUUAGUGGGCCAACUGUAGGGAUCUUUCCUUCUACAUACAACAUGUGGGACUCGCUUUUUGGUAAGUCAAUUAUCUGUUAAUUCUUCUAUUUCUGAAUCCU
RNA transcript from Zea mays, 1586 nucleotides. RefSeq lists it as uncharacterized. The transcript has 5 exons. The record is from RefSeq and is marked validated. Lineage: Eukaryota; Viridiplantae; Streptophyta; Magnoliopsida; Poales; Poaceae.